RNAcentral lists this ribosomal RNA (429 nucleotides) under Bacteroidota bacterium. Its description in RNAcentral is "Bacteroidetes bacterium partial 16S ribosomal RNA". It matches the Rfam family "Bacterial small subunit ribosomal RNA", at positions 355 to 776 of the family's 1533-position model. The record is from RNAcentral. Lineage: Bacteria; Pseudomonadati; Bacteroidota.
UAGGGAAUCUUCCGCAAUGGACGCAAGUCUGACGGAGCAACGCCGCGUGAGUGAAGAAGGAUUUCGGUUCGUAAAACUCUGUUGUUAGAGAAGAACAGCGCAUAGAGUAACUGUUAUGCGUGUGACGGUAUCUAACCAGAAAGCCACGGCUAACUACGUGCCAGCAGCCGCGGUAAUACGUAGGUGGCAAGCGUUGUCCGGAUUUAUUGGGCGUAAAGCGAGCGCAGGCGGUCAAUUAAGUCUGAUGUGAAAGCCCCCGGCUCAACCGGGGAGGGUCAUUGGAAACUGGUUGACUUGAGUGCAGAAGAGGAGAGUGGAAUUCCAUGUGUAGCGGUGAAAUGCGUAGAUAUAUGGAGGAAAACGAGUGGCGAAGGCGACUCUAUGGUCUGUAACUGACGCUGAGGCUCGAAAGCGUGGGUAGCAAACAGG